UUUAGUAGUAGAGAGGGAAGAGAACAACGCUCCUUUGUGCUUGGUGAGAGGAAGCAAGGACUUCAGUAAGGUAUCUUUGAAGGAAGCCUAUGGAAGAGCAACAAUAACAACAACAACAACAACAACAACAACAACAACAACAACAAACAACAGAAGUGUAAAAAUCAAGAAGAAAAAACUAAGAGCAGAAACAAACUUUGGAUGAAGUUUGAAAUUAAAAUGCAUGCAAUCAACCACUAUUAUUGGAACUGAGUUGUCACUGGUUUUGAGCUGUUUUAGCAGUCAAAAUGAAGAAGAAAAAAAAUCAGUCCAUGGCAAUUACCUUGUCAGUGUGACAAAAACGAACCACAGAGGCUCCCUGUAGGGGGCAGCUGAAGCUGGAGAUUGAUCACACAUGUGGGGCUGGAGCAAGACUGGUCUAAAGGACAAAGAGCACAUGAGACAAGCCACUGAACAAGCUACUCCAGUCCAGAGAACACCAGGCACCCAAGGCAAUCCAAGCAAUGGGUUUCUUGGCAAAGGGGUGUCAUGUGACACCAACCUGUCAAAUGUAUAAAUAAAUAUCUGCAGUGGUUGAGUAGGUCCUUUCUUCCAUCUGGAGAGAGGGCUGUACCUGAUUCAGCUUUCUGCAUCUUGUCUUAAUUUCUUCACCUUCUUGACAACCUUCAUGAUUCUUACCCUGGGAAGUUUGAGAGCUGAGUAGGCCAUGGCAUAAUGGCACCUGAGCAGGGACCUAGGACAUGAGGAAAGUC
Chinchilla lanigera (long-tailed chinchilla) is the source of this 752-nucleotide long non-coding RNA. RefSeq lists it as uncharacterized. The record is from RefSeq and is a predicted model, not a curated record. NCBI's taxonomy places the organism in Eukaryota, Metazoa, Chordata, Mammalia, Rodentia, Chinchillidae. The transcript has 3 exons.